Pantherophis guttatus is the source of this 770-nucleotide non-coding RNA. The record is from RefSeq and is a predicted model, not a curated record. Lineage: Eukaryota; Metazoa; Chordata; Lepidosauria; Squamata; Colubridae.
CCUGCAUAAAAGAUGAGAUAAAGAAAAUGUUAUACUACAGAACAGAGCCUAUCAAAGUAAAAUACAGGUAAUAACCAUUUGUUCUAUGAUCAAAGUUACAAUGUCACUGGACAAAUGGUACUUUCACCUGGAACUUGAAGUUAUGGUGUUGCAAGGGCUCUGCGAUCACAUGAUCAAAAUCUAGGUGCUUGGUAACCUACCCGCAUUUAUAACUGCGGGGUGCAUUUCAAUUUCCCCAAGUCCACCUAUUUCCCCCCCAUUUCUACCCUUAUACCUGCCCUGCACUUCACCGUCCCUGCCUCCCUGUGCUCUGCUGUUCCCAGCUGACCUUUGCCAUCUUCCUUCACUGUUGAUGAGGUGUGCCGGUCUGGCCCUUUGUGAGGCAGGUGCUGGCCACGUGAUGCCUUUUUCCUAAGGCCACAUGCAGCCUUCCUGAAGUCACAUAUAGCCAGCAUCUGCCUUGUGAUGGGAGGAAGAAGACAGCAAAAUUUGCAACUGGCAUUAAUAUAGCACCUUGAUGAAAUAUUUUAAAGGAGAAAACAGUUUUAUAAAAUUGAAGCAAAUAUUUACAUCCACCAGAAGAUCUGGAUCUAUGCUGAACUGCCGUCCUGACAGCAUGGCCUGAAAGUCCUCUAAACUGCAAUCAAUGCUCUCAAGGUAAUCCAGGAGUUCCACCCUGAAGGAAAAAGAAUAUCCUCUAGUUUUUUUGAGCAGUAACUUGUUCCCUGCUUGUCACUUUGGACUUCUAAAAUAAAAUCAAGAAAAAUACA